Long non-coding RNA from Hippoglossus stenolepis (Pacific halibut), 376 nucleotides. RefSeq lists it as uncharacterized. The transcript has 8 exons. The record is from RefSeq and is a predicted model, not a curated record. NCBI's taxonomy places the organism in Eukaryota, Metazoa, Chordata, Actinopteri, Pleuronectiformes, Pleuronectidae.
AUCCGUGAGGGCGGGUAGUUAAGGGCUGUUUUCUAUGUUUGAGAAAAGGGCAAAAGCAGCUCAGUCUCAUUCUCCAGCUCUCUCUCUGUGCAACAGACUCGUCAGCGACAUCGACUCAAAAUGAAGGUGAACAGCACGUGGCUCAAACGGGUGUUUCCAGGCGUUUGGACUCAUCAAAUGCAUCCCUGGUUGGAGUAUGAUGCAGAGGUGUGAAGAAGCUGGGGAUGAUGAGGUGUGAUCACACUGACUGAAUUCACUCUUCGUUCACGACAUUCAAUAAGAUGGUCUCGUGUUUGUGCAUCUGGUCUGAACGCUCUAGUAUGAGCUACUGAAACCUCUCUGGCUACAGAAUGCUAUGACAUGUGACUUCUCCGGA